UGGCUCAGUGGUUAAGAGCACUGGCUACUCUUCCAGAGGUCCUGAGUUCAAUUCUCAG
Non-coding RNA from Rattus norvegicus (Norway rat), 58 nucleotides. The record is from Rfam. NCBI's taxonomy places the organism in Eukaryota, Metazoa, Chordata, Mammalia, Rodentia, Muridae.